UACAGAGGUCUCAACCGUUGUUCGGAUUCAUUGGGCGUAAAGGGUGCGUAGGCGGUCGCGCAAGUCGGAUGUGAAAUCUCAGGGCUCAACCCUGAAACUGCAUUCGAUACUGCGUGGCUAGAGUACUGGAGAGGAGACUGGAAUUUACGGUGUAGCAGUGAAAUGCGUGGAUAUCGUAAGGAAGACCAGUGGCGAAGGCGAGUCUCUGGACAGUAACUGACGCUGAGGCACGAAGGCCAGGGGAGCAAACAGG
This 253-nucleotide ribosomal RNA is filed under the name uncultured bacterium. RNAcentral describes it as "partial 16S ribosomal RNA". It matches the Rfam family "Bacterial small subunit ribosomal RNA", at positions 524 to 776 of the family's 1533-position model. The record is from RNAcentral.